AGUUUUGAGAGUGGCGGCUGAAAAAUCUUGAGGAAGUAGAGAGUGUGUAUGCGAGACGCGUAAAAGAGAGAAAAACAGCAAAAGAAAAAGAGUCUGACUUAGGGUUGCAAGAGGAUGACUGAAUCAUCAUCAUCGCGUUCCGUUGGCGUGACUUUGAAGUUCUGGUAGAACCAUCCGAACCUUUUCUCGGGCAUCCCCCGCCUCGCUUGGUGAUUAAGCCUAAGUUAGUCUUUUCUUGGAUGAUUCUAGCCAAGUUGAGUUUAUUCAUUUCGUUAAUAUCACCAACGGGGGGAAGACAGUGGUGAGCUAGGCGGUGCGGUGGGGCCCACUACUAGCCAACACACAAAGUGAAUUCCGCCUUUAUACUACUUUUG
This is a non-coding RNA of Coffea arabica (coffee), 374 nucleotides long. The record is from RefSeq and is a predicted model, not a curated record. Lineage: Eukaryota; Viridiplantae; Streptophyta; Magnoliopsida; Gentianales; Rubiaceae.